Molecule: ribosomal RNA, 253 nt
Filed under: uncultured bacterium
Lineage: Bacteria
Description: partial 16S ribosomal RNA
Rfam family: Bacterial small subunit ribosomal RNA
Source: RNAcentral
UACGAAGGUGGCAAGCGGUGUUCGGAUUUACUGGGCGUACAGGGAGCGUAGGCGGUUGGGUAAGCCCUCCGUGAAAUCUCCGGGCCCAACCCGGAAAGUGCGGAGGGGACUGCUAGGCUAGAGGAUGGGAGAGGGGCGCGGAAUUCCCGGUGUAGCGGUGAAAUGCGUAGAGAUCGGGAGGAAGGCCGGUGGCGAAGGCGGCGCUCUGGAACAUUUCUGACGCUGAGGCUCGAAAGCGUGGGGAGCAAACAGG